AGUGCAAAUGAUGAUAUAAAUGGGACGUAAUACUGAUACUAUUUGUUGAUUCAUUAAUCUGAUGCAC
This is a small nucleolar RNA of Physella acuta, 67 nucleotides long. RefSeq annotates it as small nucleolar RNA SNORD82. The record is from RefSeq and is a predicted model, not a curated record. NCBI's taxonomy places the organism in Eukaryota, Metazoa, Mollusca, Gastropoda, Physidae.